GUUGUAUAGUCAAGUAAUUAAGUGCAUGUGGUGGAUGCCUUGGCAGUCAGAGGCGAUGAAAGACGUGAUAGCCUGCGAAAAGCUCCGGGGAGGCGGCAAAUAUCCUUUGAUCCGGAGAUGUCUGAAUGGGGGAACCCACCUACUUUAAGGUAGGUAUUGCAACAUGAAUACAUAGUGUUGCAAGGCGAACGAGGGGAAGUGAAACAUCUCAGUACCCUUAGGAAAAGAAAUCAAUUGAGAUUCCCUCAGUAGCGGCGAGCGAACGGGGAUCAGCCCAUUAAGUUAUGUGUGUUUUAGUGGAACGCUCUGGGAAGUGCGAACGUAGAGGGUGAUAUUCCCGUACACGAAAGGGCACACAUAAUGAUGACGAGUAGGGCGAGGCACGUGAAACCUUGUCUGAAUAUGGGGGGACCAUCCUCCAAGGCUAAAUACUCCUGACUGACCGAUAGUGAACCAGUACCGUGAGGGAAAGGCGAAAAGAACCCCUGUGAGGGGAGUGAAAUAGAUCCUGAAACCGCAUGCAUACAAGCAGUGGGAGCACCUUCGUGGUGUGACUGCGUACCUUUUGUAUAAUGGGUCAGCGACUUAUAUUCAGUAGCGAGGUUAACCGUAUAGGGGAGCCGUAGAGAAAUCGAGUCUUAAUAGGGCGUUUAGUUGCUGGGUAUAGACCCGAAACCAGGCGAUCUAUCCAUGAGCAGGUUGAAGGUUGGGUAACACUAACUGGAGGACCGAACCCACUGUCGUUGAAAAGCCAGGGGAUGACUUGUGGAUAGGGGUGAAAGGCUAAUCAAGCCUGGUGAUAGCUGGUUCUCCCCGAAAGCUAUUUAGGUAGCGCCUCGGACGAAUACCAUAGGGGGUAGAGCACUGUUUCGGCUAGGGGGUCAUCCCGACUUACCAAACCGAUGCAAACUCCGAAUACCUAUGAGUACUAUCCGGGAGACAGACUGCGGGUGCUAACGUCCGUAGUCAAGAGGAAAACAAUCCAGACCGCCAGCUAAGGCCCCAAAAUCAUAGUUAAGUGGGAAACGAUGUGGGAAGGCAUAGACAGCUAGGAGGUUGGCUUAGAAGCAGCCACCCUUUAAAGAAAGCGUAAUAGCUCACUAGUCGAGUCGGCCUGCGCGGAAGAUGUAACGGGGCUAAAACUAUGUGCCGAAGCUGCGGAUGUAUACUUUGUAUACGUGGUAGGGGAGCGUUCUGUAAGCCGAUGAAGGUGUGUUGAGAAGCAUGCUGGAGGUAUCAGAAGUGCGAAUGCUGACGUGAGUAACGACAAAACGGGUGAAAAACCCGUUCGCCGAAAGACCAAGGGUUCCAGUCCAACGUUAAUCGGGGCUGGGUGAGUCGACCCCUAAGGCGAGGCCGAAAGGCGUAGUCGAUGGGAAAAUGGUUAAUAUUCCAUUACUUCUGUGUAAUGCGAUGAGAGGACGGAGAAGGCUAAAUCAGCCUGGCGUUGGUUGUCCAGGUGAAAGGAUGUAGGCAUGUAUCUUAGGCAAAUCCGGGGUACUCUAUGCUGAGAUCUGAUAGCAAGCUGUACUUGUACAGCGAAGUGGUUGAUGCCAUGCUUCCAGGAAAAGUCUCUAAGCUUCAGUUGCACAGGAAUCGUACCCGAAACCGACACAGGUGGUCAGGUCGAGUAGACCAAGGCGCUUGAGAGAACUCUGCUGAAGGAACUAGGCAAAAUGGUACCGUAACUUCGGGAGAAGGUACGCUGUUGUUGGUGAUGGAACUCGCUUCCUGAGCUGACGACAGCCGCAGAAACCAGGCCGCUGCAACUGUUUAUUAAAAACAUAGCACUCUGCAAACACGAAAGUGGACGUAUAGGGUGUGAUGCCUGCCCGGUGCUGGAAGGUUAAUUGAUGGGGUUAGCGUAAGCGAAGCUCUUGAUCGAAGCCCCAGUAAACGGCGGCCGUAACUAUAACGGUCCUAAGGUAGCGAAAUUCCUUGUCGGGUAAGUUCCGACCUGCACGAAUGGCAUAAUGAUGGCGGCGCUGUCUCCAGCAGAGGCUCAGUGAAAUCGAAAUCGCUGUGAAGAUGCAGUGUACCCGCGGCUAGACGGAAAGACCCCGUGAACCUUUACUGCAGCUUGACACUGAACUUUGACCUUACUUGUGUAGGAUAGGUGGGAGGCUUUGAAGCUGGAACGCUAGUUCCAGUGGAGCCGUCCUUGAAAUACCACCCUGGUAAUGUUGAGGUUCUAACUCUGUCCCGUGAUCCGGGACGAGGACCGUGUCUGGUGGGUAGUUUGACUGGGGCGGUCUCCUCCUAAAGAGUAACGGAGGAGUACGAAGGUGCGCUCAGCGUGGUCGGAAAUCACGCGUAGAGUAUAAAGGCAAAAGCGCGCUUAACUGCGAGACCCACAAGUCGAGCAGGUACGAAAGUAGGUCUUAGUGAUCCGGUGGUUCUGUAUGGAAGGGCCAUCGCUCAACGGAUAAAAGGUACUCUGGGGAUAACAGGCUGAUACCGCCCAAGAGUUCAUAUCGACGGCGGUGUUUGGCACCUCGAUGUCGGCUCAUCUCAUCCUGGGGCUGAAGCAGGUCCCAAGGGUAUGGCUGUUCGCCAUUUAAAGAGGUACGCGAGCUGGGUUUAGAACGUCGUGAGACAGUUCGGUCCCUAUCUACCGUGGGCGCUGGAAAUUUGAGAGGAUCUGCUCCUAGUACGAGAGGACCAGAGUGGACGAACCUCUGGUGUACCGGUUGUGACGCCAGUCGCAUCGCCGGGUAGCUAUGUUCGGAAGGGAUAACCGCUGAAAGCAUCUAAGCGGGAAGCCUACCUCAAGAUAAGAUUUCCCUAGGACUUUAUGUCCUCUAAAGAGCCGUUCGAGACUAGGACGUUGAUAGGUUGGAUGUGGAAGCAUAGUGAUAUGUGAAGCUGACCAAUACUAAUUGCUCGUGAGGCUUGACUAUACAACACCCAAGCAGUUG
This 2918-nucleotide ribosomal RNA is filed under the name Acinetobacter baumannii. RNAcentral's name for it is "bacterial LSU rRNA". It matches the Rfam family "Bacterial large subunit ribosomal RNA". The record is from RNAcentral. Lineage: Bacteria; Pseudomonadati; Pseudomonadota; Gammaproteobacteria; Moraxellales; Moraxellaceae.